CCUACGGGUGGCAGCAGUGGGGAAUAGUGGACAAUGGGGGCAACCCUGAUCCAGCCAUGCCGCGUGUGUGAAGAAGGCCCUCGGGUUGUAAAGCACUUUCAGUGAGGAAGAACGCCUGGUGGUUAAUACCCAUCAGGAAAGACAUCACUCACAGAAGAAGCACCGGCUAACUCCGUGCCAGCAGCCGCGGUAAUACGGAGGGUGCGAGCGUUAAUCGGAAUUACUGGGCGUAAAGCGCGCGUAGGUGGCUUGAUAAGCCGGUUGUGAAAGCCCCGGGCUCAACCUGGGAACGGCAUCCGGAACUGUCAAGCUAGAGUGCAGGAGAGGAAGGUAGAAUUCCCGGUGUAGCGGUGAAAUGCGUAGAGAUCGGGAGGAAUACCAGUGGCGAAGGCGGCCUUCUGGACUGACACUGACACUGAGGUGCGAAAGCGUGGGUAGCAAACAGGAUUAGAUACCCGAGUAGUC
Molecule: ribosomal RNA, 465 nt
Filed under: Vreelandella stevensii
Lineage: Bacteria; Pseudomonadati; Pseudomonadota; Gammaproteobacteria; Oceanospirillales; Halomonadaceae
Description: partial 16S ribosomal RNA
Rfam family: Bacterial small subunit ribosomal RNA
Source: RNAcentral